UAAAUGUAUGGUGGUUGUGAUUUAAGGUCAGUUCUGACUUCAGUGGCUGCUCCUUCCCUUAUUGCAGAAUGAUUGGGGAGCUCACCCAAGCCCUGCAGUCCAAAGAGGCUCUGAUCACCCAACUGGCAGAGGAGAAGACCUCUCUGCAGGGGCAAGUUGGUCUGUUGGAGGAUCAGGUGCAGGACCUCACUGCCUCUCUCCAACAGAAGGAGCAGGAUGCUGAGUUCUUUCAGGACGAGUUGGGCCGUGAGAAACUGCGCAUUCAGCAGCAGAUGCAGGUAUGUGGGUCAGGAUGGCUGGCACUAGCUAUGACUUCUCUCUUGCACCCCAUCCCACUCUCAGCUAGUGAUGGACAGUUAGAGGAUUCCCCCUGGUGGAAAUCCUCACACACUGCACAAAGGAGCAGAGGGCACACUGAGUUGAGGCCGUAUGUACAGGUGGUCUCCGAUUUAUGAUGGUUCGACUUAUGAUUUUUUUGACUUUAAGAUGAUAAGCUGGCGAUAGACACUUAGUAGAAACCAUACUUCGAAUUUCGAUUUUUUCCUGAGCAAGUGAUAUGCAGUAUGAUACUCUCUUGCAAUGCUGGCCAGCGGCAGCGAUCUACAUCUCCCAGUCUGUCAUGCAAAGGUGUGUAUUAAGUGCAUUUUUGAUUUACGAUAUUUUAGACUUAUGAUGGGUUUCACAGAAUGUAACCCCAUUGUAAAUUGGGAACCAUCUGUAUAACUAUGUCCAGCUGGGUUGUAACUCUGUUGUAACUGGGUGACCACCAUUUGGACAUCAGGAUGGCUUUAGAGUUAGAUGAAGGUCAGAAAUUACAACGCGCUAUUCAUUCCAGAUGAUGCAGUUCUCCUUUCCACACUUUUGCAUUUUUAAGUGCGUAUAUUAAUUUUCAUUCUUUUUAAUUUUGUUUCAAAGUGUUUUAUUUAGGGGCGUGGUGGCACAGUGGGUUGGACCACAGUCCUGCUCUCCGGUGGGUCUGGGGUUUGAGUCCUGCUUGGGGUGCCUUGUGACGGACUGGCGUCCUGUCCUGGGUGUGUCCCCUCCCCCUCUGGCCUUACGCCCUGUGUUGCUGGGUAGGCUCUGGUUCCCCUGUGACCCUGUAUGGGACAAGUGGUUCUGAAAGUG
RNAcentral lists this long non-coding RNA (1125 nucleotides) under Scleropages formosus (Asian bonytongue). Its description in RNAcentral is "lncRNA (ENSSFOG00015031418.1)". Lineage: Eukaryota; Metazoa; Chordata; Actinopteri; Osteoglossiformes; Osteoglossidae. The record is from RNAcentral.